RNAcentral lists this ribosomal RNA (529 nucleotides) under Salmonella enterica. RNAcentral describes it as "bacterial SSU rRNA". It matches the Rfam family "Bacterial small subunit ribosomal RNA", at positions 1004 to 1533 of the family's 1533-position model. Lineage: Bacteria; Pseudomonadati; Pseudomonadota; Gammaproteobacteria; Enterobacterales; Enterobacteriaceae. RNAcentral also lists the same sequence under 1 other name. The record is from RNAcentral.
AGAUGGAUUGGUGCCUUCGGGAACUGUGAGACAGGUGCUGCAUGGCUGUCGUCAGCUCGUGUUGUGAAAUGUUGGGUUAAGUCCCGCAACGAGCGCAACCCUUAUCCUUUGUUGCCAGCGAUUAGGUCGGGAACUCAAAGGAGACUGCCAGUGAUAAACUGGAGGAAGGUGGGGAUGACGUCAAGUCAUCAUGGCCCUUACGACCAGGGCUACACACGUGCUACAAUGGCGCAUACAAAGAGAAGCGACCUCGCGAGAGCAAGCGGACCUCAUAAAGUGCGUCGUAGUCCGGAUUGGAGUCUGCAACUCGACUCCAUGAAGUCGGAAUCGCUAGUAAUCGUGGAUCAGAAUGCCACGGUGAAUACGUUCCCGGGCCUUGUACACACCGCCCGUCACACCAUGGGAGUGGGUUGCAAAAGAAGUAGGUAGCUUAACCUUCGGGAGGGCGCUUACCACUUUGUGAUUCAUGACUGGGGUGAAGUCGUAACAAGGUAACCGUAGGGGAACCUGCGGUUGGAUCACCUCCUUA